RNAcentral lists this long non-coding RNA (440 nucleotides) under Gossypium barbadense (sea-island cotton). RNAcentral's name for it is "long non-coding RNA (GBAR_LNC014837)". Lineage: Eukaryota; Viridiplantae; Streptophyta; Magnoliopsida; Malvales; Malvaceae. The record is from RNAcentral.
CCCAACAUCCUCGAUUCUCAAACAUUUGUAAGAAAAGAAAAACAGUGAGAGGCAGCUAAGCUAUGGUGGGGGUGCAAAAGGGAUGUUGGGAAGUGAAGAGGGGUAGUGUGGUUCCAAAGAGAAGGCGGCUAGUGAAGAUACAUAUGUUAAACACCAUAGUCCACUCUAUUGCUUUUCUUUGUACUUCCGAUCCUAACCAUAAUUCCAAUACUGUUGCACGCUCCUCCCGUAAUUAGUGGAAUAGACACAAGCAAAAGUGGGGAUCAUACCAUUACCAUUCACUUUUACUCCUCAAGUUUCAAUCUCUAUUAAUGUCCGCUAAAGUUUGACUUGUUUGUGAUCAAUUAUCUAUUAUUCAUUGUAUGAUAAAGUUACAUCUAUCUUCGUCUCUAAGCUUUUUUUAUCUUGAUAAUAAUAAAAGAAUUAGUUAGAUUUCAAAA